CAGUCGAGGGGCAGCGGGGGCGAAGCUUGCUUCGCCUGCCGGCGACCGGCGCACGGGUGAGUAACACGUAUGCGACCUGCCCCCCGCAGGGGGAUAACCGGGAGAAAUCCCGACUAAUACCGCGUAACGCCGCUGGGCUGCAUGGCCCGGCGGCCAAAGGAAGCGAUUCCGGCGGGGGAUGGGCAUGCGGCGCAUUAGCUAGUCGGCGGGGUAACGGCCCACCGAGGCGACGAUGCGUAGGGGUUCUGAGAGGAAGGUCCCCCACACUGGUACUGAGACACGGACCAGACUCCUACGGGAGGCAGCAGUGAGGAAUAUUGGUCAAUGGGCGUAAGCCUGAACCAGCCAAGUCGCGUGAGGGAAGACGGUCCUACGGAUUGUAAACCUCUUUUGCCGGGGAGCAACGGGGUCCUUGCGAGGGCCCUAUGAGAGUACCCGGAGAAAAAGCAUCGGCUAACUCCGUGCCAGCAGCCGCGGUAAUACGGAGGAUGCGAGCGUUAUCCGGAUUUAUUGGGUUUAAAGGGUGCGUAGGCGGGCUGUUAAGUCAGCGGUCAAAUGUCGGGGCUCAACCCCGGCCUGCCGUUGAAACUGGCGGCCUCGAGUGGGCGAGAAGUAUGCGGAAUGCGUGGUGUAGCGGUGAAAUGCAUAGAUAUCACGCAGAACUCCGAUUGCGAAGGCAGCAUACCGGCGCCCUACUGACGCUGAGGCACGAAAGCGUGGGUAUCGAACAGGAUUAGAUACCCUGGUAG
This 749-nucleotide ribosomal RNA is filed under the name uncultured bacterium. RNAcentral's name for it is "bacterial SSU rRNA". It matches the Rfam family "Bacterial small subunit ribosomal RNA", at positions 59 to 793 of the family's 1533-position model. The record is from RNAcentral.